UGUGUGUGUGUGUGUGUGUCUGUGUGUGUAUGUCUGUGUGUGUGUCUGUGUGUGUGUGUGUGUGUGUGUGUGUGUGUGUGUGUGUGUGUGUGUGUGUGUGUGUGUGUGUGUGUGUGUGUGUGUGUGUGUGUAUGUGUGUAUGUGUGUGUGUCUGUGUAUGUGUGUGUGUGUGUGUGUCUGUGUGUGUGUGUGUGUGUCUGUGUGUGUGUGUGUGUGUCUGUGUGUCUGUCUGUGUGUGUGUGUCUCUGUGUGUGUGUGUGUGUGUGUGUGUGUGUGUCUGUGUGUGUGUGUCUGUGUGUGUGUGUGUCUGUGCGUGCAUGUGUGUGCGAUUGUGAUUGAUGGGCCCGUGGGGCUGUUGGAUUGUGUGUUAAUGGUUAUUGUGUUACCUCUGUGUGUGCGCGUGUUGUGUUACUGGUUGUUGGUUAUAUUUCACUCUGCAGAGCCUGUAAACAAAACCAAAUUAAAGAACAUUUACUUUAUGAAGUUCACGCGUUCAUCCAUCAUCCCGCUUCCAGCUGCGUAUCCGGGUCAGGGUCGCCGUGGCAACAGAGAGCGCUUUUGGCAUAAACCGGUUUUGCAUCUGGAAGCUUUUCUCCUGGUUCUCCCAGAGAAAGCAGAAAAGCCUCAUCAUUUGACACCAUUUAACGCGGGAGUGCGUUUGGUGCUGACGGUGGAAUGAAGGCGAGGUCACAGAGGAUCAUCCUCUGGGGAGCCUUUCAAUGCAAAUCUCCACUGUGCCCCAAAACACAGAAAAAUACCCUCAAAGGAUUUGAUGGAGCUGGAGAAGCUUUAGCUGCAGUUACUCGUGUUCUGCUCUAAAGGCAAUUGGAGGACUGAUUUGUUGGCGUUCCAUGAACACACAAUAGCAUUAAUAUUCUACAACGAAGAAGCCUCAUUUUAGCUCAGUAGUCGAUCUAACUUUGUGUUUCUGUCCGGAAUGAACUCUUAGUUGGUUGAUUGGUCGGCGGCAGGCGACGCUCACGCUGGUCACGGGGCGUAAAUACCGUAGCAUCCGUGUUGUUUUGUACGCUAUCGAUACGCGUUGAUUCAUUCGUGUGUCCUUCGGUGUCUUUGCGUUGACUUUUCAUCUGAUGUCAUCGUGCGGUUCAGAAUAGUCAGAAUAGUUAAAACACUUUAGCCGAUUCACCUCUCGCGUUGUGUUUCCCCCGUGAGUGCUGUUGAUGCGCCGUGCGCUGUCAGCUGUUAAUAGCUGGUGUGCGUUGUGAGAUGGAUGGUGUGUGUUUCCUCUGAAAGCUCACAGAUAAGGAGCGUUUUUUUUCUUUAAAGCACAUUUGUUUUCUGCGGAGGGAAAAAUCGGCCAUUAAUGCAGAUUUAUGCAGAUUGGCUGGAUGGAAGUCGUUUGGGCAAAAAGCGCCGCUGAGGGUCGAGCAGUGAUUACUAAUGGGGUUCAUAGCUGCACAGAGAAAGGGCUGCGGCCAGCCAGUGAGUGUGUGUGUGUGAGUGUGUGUGUGUGUGUGUCUCUCGGGCUGCUUUCCAGCUGUUGAAACAACCUUUUGUAAAUCUUUGCAGGAGCCUCGGCCCGUUCGGCCCGUUCUGUUGGUUCCCUGCUGCUCAUUUAUUCAUGUGGGUUUUAUGGCUGAGCUCGUGUCUCCCGUUCUCUUCCUCCUCUGUGGCUUCUCGCUUCCUCUGUCAGGGAAACACGUCGGGAGUCAGACGCAAUGCUGCUUCCUCCGCAGGAAUGAAACCGGGAGGCACGGAGCUCCUUCGCUACACCCUUUCUCACCCUCGUAGGAGGCGCGGUGGCGGCGGUUCCACGGCUUCCUGCUUUCAAAAGGUCGCUUUAAGGUUAAAGUGCCAAAGUGCCGUCAGCUAAAUGCGUACAUUAUCUAUAUAUAACCAACUGUCCUCUCCACAGAGAGUUCAGUUAGCCUGAGUGAAAGAGCGCCGACCGACAAUCAAUGUCACAACCGAGGGUUCCUCGUGACGGGACGGCAAAUGUCUCCGUUGGCUUUGUUUGGCUCACUCGUGCCGACCGUCGGAGACGCGUCAGUACGAGCCGGUGGACCAGUUGGAGGUUUCCUCUGUUCACCAGCCUCAGGUUUAUAAUCAGCUUCCUCUUAAUCCAGAUGACAAACCAAAACCAGACCACCCUCAGACUGAAACACAUCUGCAGCGAUCGCUUGUCUCCGUCAUUCUGUCCGUUAAGGAAACCAUUUUCAGGAUUUAUGGAAAUCUCAGCAACCAAAGCAAUAAUGGCAUCAGCAACAAGACAACAAGUAGCUGCAGCUUUAAAAGUUGCAACAACAGAAACGGCAACAUAGAAAGGAGCAACAGCAGCAAUAAGUGGAGCAUCUAAAGCAACAACCGAAGCCUUUAAUCCUCGCGGGGUUUUAUCAUCCGUACAACAAGUGCUUUCUUUGACUCACUUCUCAGAUUCAGAUAUCACUUUUCUUGGAUUGGGAGAUGAUGCUGGAAAAUCUCUAUUUUUUAAGGACACACUGAGCAGCCCUCAACAAACCCAAAGUCAGAUUGCAAACUGCUGGACGGCUUUUGCUAACUCUACCAACUCUUCUUGCUGAUGAUUUUGGUUGUUUGUGGUGUUGAAUUUGUUGUCAGUUUUCAAGGGUCUUUGAUGAAAUAAUAAUUUACAUGAAUAUGAACUAGAAGAUUGCUUAUUUAAGACAAAUUUUAUACUUUGAGAGAAAAUGUGUACAUUUCCUGGACUGUAGUAAAUAAAUGAUUAUAUUCACAAUUGUCUGUCGGUGUGAGACCCGUGUUUCCUCUGAUGUGGUUAAUCAAUACUGUGCAGUUAGCUCAACCUUUAGAGGAAGGCUGCACCAACUUGCCAUCUUUCUGAGAGCGUGAUGAUUAAGAAUGAUAAUGUCUAAGUGAUUAGCCUAGCUUAGCAUACAAGUCGGGGCAGACAGCUAGUGCGGCUCCGAAAAAGGUUUAAAACUAUGCGUACCAAUACCUCUAGUUCAUUGUACGUCUCUCUGUACAUAUGAUAUAUAAAAACAACAUUUUGUGGUUUUAUUGGGGCUUGAGCGCCGGUCUAUGUGACAAGCCUGACUUUGUCUUCGUAACCGUCCGGCCUCACAGAGCCUUUCUGCGAAGUUAGUUUUAAGCAGCCGACUCCCAAUAAAAUGAUAAAUUAUCACUUUGCCUAAAGGUGCAAGAUCGAGUACGGGAGCGUUUGAUUGCCUCUAAAUGGCUCUCGACAUGUCGACAGCACUAAUGGUGAUAACAGCUGUGCUCACAGUGCACACUAAGGCUAAACGCAGGCAGAGCUCACCUGGUUUACCUGAGGAG
Long non-coding RNA from Gasterosteus aculeatus aculeatus (three-spined stickleback), 3270 nucleotides. The record is from Ensembl. NCBI's taxonomy places the organism in Eukaryota, Metazoa, Chordata, Actinopteri, Perciformes, Gasterosteidae.